This is an RNA transcript of Chroicocephalus ridibundus (black-headed gull), 5270 nucleotides long. It is a transcript of the gene named cell adhesion associated, oncogene regulated, with no coding region annotated. NCBI's taxonomy places the organism in Eukaryota, Metazoa, Chordata, Aves, Charadriiformes, Laridae. The record is from RefSeq and is a predicted model, not a curated record. The transcript is spliced from 19 exons.
UGGGAGCCGGGGCGGGGAGGGGAGUUGGGGGGGUGGGGGGCGGUGGUGAGAGAUAAGCGGCGCGGCCGGGCGGCGUUGGAUGGCGGCUCCCGCCCGCCGGGUCGCCCUCCCCAGCCUGGAAUGUCCUGGGGAGCCGCCGCCGAGCGGGACCGGGACCGGCCGCCGCCGCUGGGAGCUGUUUCGGUGCCUCAUCUUAGUCUGGAGCUCGGUGCUUUCAACUUCUGGAAUCUGGCGCUAUGCAUCCAGAUCCCGGACGCUUACAGGCACUGCUCUUCAUCACUGCCACGGGUCUCAUCGCUGCCGCCAGUUCAGAUUUAACUCCCCGUUUUAUUUCUGAGCCCUCGUCUACUGUCCAGAAGCCUGGUGGGUCUGUACAACUCCGCUGCUCUGCCGAGCCCUCCGCGGCUCGCCUGUCAUGGCUCUUUAAUGGGGAGCCUCUGGACAGCAAGGGGGGAGAAGUGGAAAUCCAGCCAGGCUCCUUGACGAUCGCCUCCCUCAGCCUGCCGACCUCUGGCCGCUAUCGGUGCGUUGCGAACAGCAGCGUGGGCGCCGUUGUGAGCAGGCCUGCGACGGUAUCCAUGGGCAGUUUAGCUGACUUUGACACGUCGGUGAAGCCCGCCGUCGCGGCGGAGGAAGGAGGUACGGCUUUCAUCGGGUGCAAGGUGCCAGAAAGCAACCCUAAAGCCCAGGUUCGCUUUCAAGUGCGGGGGAAAUGGCUGGAACAAUCAACAGACAACUACCUAAUUCUUCCAUCUGGAAACCUGCAGAUUUUGAAUGUAUCUUUAGAAGACAGAGGGUCCUAUAAAUGUGCGGCGUACAACCCGGUUACUCACGAUCUCAGAGUAGAACUCACUGGGCGUAAGCUCGUAGUCACACGCUCUUCCUCAGGCGGCUUCCAAAUCCUUCACCCCCUGGCUCCCCAGAGCCUGGCAGUGCCCCGGCACAGCCCCCUGACGCUGGAGUGUGUUGUCAGCGGGUCGCCUCCGGCCUCCGUCCGCUGGGUGAAGGACGGCCAGGACGCCCUGGGAAAAGGCAGGUGGAAACUGCUGCGCUCCCACCUGGUGACGGACAGGCUCGAGGCAUCGGACUCUGGGAAUUACUCCUGCGUGGUGGGAAAUGAACUUGGAGUAGUGAAAUACGUUAACUAUUCACUUACUAUACUUGAACCUGCCUCCAUCUCCAAGGGACUGCAAGACGAAACCGUGGCCGCUGGAGCGACCGCCCAUUUCUGGUGCGAGGUCCGCGGGAGCCCUGCUCCGACCCUCACCUGGCUCCACAACGCGGCCCCCCUCCGCCUCUCCCCGCGGCAUCUGCCGACGGGCAACCGCCUGCGCAUCCGCGGCGUCACCCAGGAGGACUCCGGCUUGUACCAGUGUGUAGCGAACAACGGGCUGGGAUUUGUGCAGUCCACUGGGAGGCUUCGUGUCCUGCCAGGCAAAGGCUCUAGCCCGGUUAUAGUCUCUCCACCAGCAAGCGUCACUGUGGCAGAUGGUGGGGACGUUACGCUGUCUUGCAAUGCCACUGGCCUACCCGUCCCCGUGAUCCGUUGGUAUGACAGCAGAGGACUUAUUACCAGCCGUCCUUCCCAGGUGCUUCAUUCCAAACCGCAGAAACCUCCUCGAGCGACGCCGGGCAGCGCCGUCGCGGAUCCCACCACCUCCUCCUGGGUGUCCCAAGCGGGCUCGAGCUCCUUGCACGUGAGGAACGUGACUCCCGAGCGUGGCGGGGAGUACACGUGCGAAGCCACCAACGCGCACGGCUCCGUGGUGGCCAAAGCCUUCCUUACAGUUGAAACUGCCCCCAAAGCCGAAGAGACGGAGGUUGCCCAGAGCGAUGGAAGCCACGGCGAUUUCGGCGCGGAAACGGCGUUCUCAAGCUGGCCGCCGACAAAAGCGCGUUUGGAGGCGGCUGUGACGGAAAAGGCCUCGAACGCCGCCGCUCCCCCCGAAGCCCCCAUCAUCCUCAGCCCCCCGCAGACGCUGAAGCCCGACGCGUACACCCUGGUGUGGCGCUCGGGGAGGGAUGGGGGCUCGCCCAUCAACGCCUAUUUCGUCAAAUACCGCAAGCUGGACGACGGCGUCAGCGCGGUGGGCAGCUGGCACACGGUGCGCGUCCCCGGCAGCGAGAACGAGCUGCGCCUCACCGAGCUGGAGCCUUCCAGCCUGUACGAGGUUUUAAUGGUGGCGAGGAGCGCGGCGGGCGAGGGCCAGCCCGCCAUGCUGACAUUUCGCACCAGCAAAGAAAGAACGUCGUCCUCGAAAAACACUCAGGCUCCCUCUCCGCCAGUAGGCAUUCCGAAACAUCCCGUCGUUCCCGAAGGGACAAAUAAUUUCGGUGUCGUCCUUCCCGACCUGUCUCGCCACAGCGGAGUUCCAGAAGCUCCCGACCGCCCCACGAUCUCCACGGCAUCGGAAUCCUCCGUCUACGUCACGUGGAUACCACGGGCGAACGGUGGCUCCCCCAUUACUGCCUUUAAAGUGGAGUAUAAACGCCUGGGUCGAAACAGUGACUGGCUGAUCGCAGCUGAUAACAUUUCUCCUUCCAAACUGUCUGUGGAAGUCCGUAACUUGGAGCCAGGAGAAAUGUAUAGGUUCCGUGUGAUUGCCGUGAACAAUUACGGGGAGAGCCCGCGCAGUGCGGCGUCUCGCCCUUACCAAGUAGCCGGAUUCACCAGCCGCUUUUCCAACCGCCCCAUCGCAGGACCUCACAUCGCUUAUACCGAAGCCAUCAGUGACACUCAGAUCAUGUUAAAAUGGACGUAUAUCACAUCAAGCAACAACAACACGCCCAUCCAGGGAUUUUAUAUCUACUACCGGCCUACAGACAGCGACAACGAUAGCGACUACAAGAGGGAUAUCGUGGAAGGUACGAAGCAAUGGCACUUGAUAAAUCACCUGCAGCCAGAAACAUCUUACGACAUUAAAAUGCAGUGCUAUAACGAAGGCGGCGAAAGCGAGUACAGCAACGUGAUGAUCUGCGAAACCAAAGUGAAACGUACGCCGGGAGCAUCGGAAUAUCCGGUGAAGGACCUGAGUACCCCGCCGAAUCCCCCCGACCGGGUCGGGGGAAGCGGAGCCGGCCCUUCCAACGGCCCCGUUCGCAGCGGUGACAUGCUCUACUUGAUCGUGGGCUGCGUCCUGGGGGUGAUGGUCCUUAUUCUCAUCGUUUUCAUCGCCAUGUGCCUGUGGAAGAACCGUCAGCAAAACGCCAUGCAGAAAUAUGACCCUCCUGGCUACCUCUACCAAGGGGCGGAUAUCGCCGGGCAGAUGAUUGAGUACACGACCUUGCCCGGCACGAGCCGGGUCAACGGCAGCAUCCACGGCAACUUCAUCAGCAACGGCGGCCUGAGCAACGGCUGUCCGCACGUCCAUCAUAAAGUUACGAACGGAGUCAAUGGGAUGAUGAACGGCGGAGCCGGGCUGUACCCGGGGCACACCAACUCCCUGUCCAGGACGCACGUGGACUACGAACAUCCCCACCAUCUCGUGAACGGCGGUGGGAUGUACACAGCAGUGGCGCAGGCCGACCCCUCGGAGUGCAUCAGUUGCCGAAACUGUCGGAACAAUAACAGGUGACGUAAAACCGGCGGGGAAGGCAGGACCUUGCCCCGAGCUCCGCGCGCUGGCGGUAAAAGCCGGGGCAAACAAAAACGGAGAGCUGGAGUCCCGGCCGAGGGGACGGAGGAGCUCCGCGUCGGUGGGUAUCCCAAGGAGAGCAGCUGGCGAUUGUCCCUGGGAUGGAAUAAAACAAGUUAUUAAACCCCCAGAGCUCCUUUUGCUCGGCGCGUUCCUCUGACGCUCUCUAAGGAGCGAGGCAGGUUGGGCACUGGAUUUAUAUUUAAUUUAUUUAUUUAUUUAUUUAUUUAUUUUUAAGACCUGAUUUCCUGUGUUUUCUCCAGUUUUGGAGAUAACAAAAUGAUUCCAUACGGAGUUUGUCAAACAGGAUUUAAUUGGUCUUCUGUAUUUUACAUUUCCGGAGUCGCAGCUCUGCUGUCGCAACGCUCUUCUCUGCGAAACACGGGAUUUGACGUUCCUCAGGCCUCCAGGAGGGGUUCGGCCGGCCAUCGGCAGCGCGGGCGGCGUUUUUUGCGUGAGAAAAGGGAUUCUCAUGUGGAAUGAGGGAAAAAUCUGGCUCUUUUCUAGCUGGGAGUCUGGAUUUUUAUUAGGUUUUUCACUUUUUGGUAGUUUUAAAGAAUAGCCUUCCAGGCUUCUGGCUAAAUCUCUAGUUAUUUUAAUGACUAAAAAUAGGAGCGAGAGUCGGACACGCGGGACUGCUCUGGCUGGCGACUUCUGGAUUUUUUUCGAUCGUCCUUUGAAUUUUCCGCCUUAUUAAAAUCGCCGGCUGCCCUCAGGUGUACGCCUGGCGAAAGCCGAGUUGAAACGAAGGCGUGGUUGAAGGCAGAAAACCCGCUCGCUUUAUUUUUUUUUUCCCCGGGUUUUACUUCUUAAAAUAGGAUUGGCUUGGAAUUUCUUCCUCCGUCCGGAAACCCGCGUGCGAUAGCGUGAGGGAGGGGGGGCCGGUGCUCGCAGGUGGAGCUGGGCGGGCUUUGGCCAGGCCAGUGGCACGCUGGUCUCCGGGGAAAGGGGCCACCGCUCCGUUACAAGCCAGUUGGCUGCGACGGCAGUCGCCAAGAUGCGCGCGACUGGCCGAGGUUUGGAACACGCUCUCCGUCUUACGCCGUCAUGUAGAGCUUGCUUUGCGCUUUUAAGCGUAUUUAGAUUUUUGAAUUGCGCUGCUUUUUUUUUUUUGCCUUUUUUUUUUUUUUUUUGCUUUUUUUCCCUUAAGAAAGCAAGGAGAAAUGGGUCCCGUCCUCUGCAACUGGCCUGUUCCUCCCAGAUGGGUCAUCAGCGGGGUCUGAACGUUGGAUUUUCACAUCCCUGUUCUAUAUUUGACCGCUUGAUAGAGAAACAAGUUGUCCUUUACAGCUGCCUUACCCCAGAGGGGACCAUUAACCUCCGUUUGGCAGGAGAGCUGCGCAGCCGGGACCGCUCCGUUCCCUUCCUGGCGCUGGGGGAAUGCAAGGAGGACAUGGGAGAGGGGAACGGGGGGGAUCAGAGACGUGCCGGGGUAGCACGCUAGGGAGCUGCGUGUAUGGCCGCGGCGAGGAGGAGGAGGAGGAAGACACGGCGGGUUAGCGCGGUCAGGUGUUUCACCAAAACCAACGGCGCUUUCGGCGGCAACGCGCUCCCCGUCGUGCCCGUGGUUGCACCUUAUCAGCCGGAAGGGCUGGAGAUGAAGCCUCUCAAUCACCGCGUCAUGGUGGCCAUGUG